AACUCAAGAAUUCACCCAAAACUGCCCUCAAAUCCUUCAGAUCUGAGAUUCACAUUUAGAUCAAGUUUUCCCUUAGAAUUUAGCUUCCUCAAUAGAGAAAACCAAACAAAAAAACAAUAGAAAGUUCAAAAUCUAAAGAAAAAUACAAAACACUGUGCAUUGAUUCUGUUUCAUUUUUUCAGUUCUUAGUUCAAUCGAUUAGCUCCUUUAGAAUCAGGAAAUAGCUGGAAUGCUCUCGUUCCUGUUCAACAUUUGAGAUCUGGAAAUAUUUGUGAUUGACUGUGGUUUGUUUUGGUUUAGUCGAGUUGGCUGAGGUGUGAUGCAUUGAGUGUUGGGUUCAGUUUUGGUGGUUUGGUGUUAUUUGACCAGUCUAUUUGAGUCUAUUUGGUUUUGAAAACACUUCUGGAUUUGCUGAACUAUCCUGGAUAACAUCUGAUUGUGUGAGCUGUGUUCCUGUUGAUCUAAUUGCUGUGAUUCGCUGGACUGUUUGCUGACCUCACUUCUUUUGUAUUUUGACCAAAUUCCAGGUACACUGCCCUAACCUCACUGGUGUAUAUGCAUUGAAGAUUGAAAUGAAAUGUGUGAAGGGUUUAUUGCUCAACUGAGGACUACUCGCAUUUAAUUGAUAUUAGUUAUAUCAUUUCUGUUAUAAAUGGUAGUUAAGUGUAUAGCUGAGACCGUUCCCUAAGGUUGACUGUCUGAUAAAUGUUAUUCAAACAUUAAAAUGUUGAUUUAGGCCCUUGUGGCAUGUUGAGUUAGUUUGAUAGGCUUGUUUAAUUAGAUUGGUUGAAUUAAUUUGAAAGUUUACAUGGACUUGAACGCGAUAAGUAGUCAGUAGAUGGAUAAACGCUUUGUUGAAAUGGCAAUAAUUUUGUAGUAGGAUUUCAAUUAAUGAACUGAUUUAAUAGAUUUCAUCCUACUUGUUAAUAACUUUAUCACUAAUCAAGUUAGUUUAUUAGAAUGCCAUGUGUUUGAAUAAUGGAUUUUGAAUUCGAUAGUGUGUAAACUUGCAUUGUUGUUGGUAAAUUAUGCAUUGAAAGAAACAAAAGCUCACCUACAUUGAUUGGUUUCAUUAAAACUAGUGAUCCAUGAUAAAUUGAUUCAG
RNAcentral lists this long non-coding RNA (1105 nucleotides) under Nicotiana benthamiana. RNAcentral's name for it is "long non-coding RNA (NBEN_LNC004615)". Lineage: Eukaryota; Viridiplantae; Streptophyta; Magnoliopsida; Solanales; Solanaceae. The record is from RNAcentral.